GACGAACGCUGGCGGCGUGCUUAACACAUGCAAGUCGAACGGUAAGGCUCCAGCUUGCUGGGGUACACGAGUGGCGAACGGGUGAGUAACACGUGGGUGACCUGCCCUGCACUUCGGGAUAAGCCUGGGAAACUGGGUCUAAUACCGGAUAGGACCGCACCGUGAGGGUGUGGUGGAAAGUUUUUUCGGUGUGGGAUGGGCCCGCGGCCUAUCAGCUUGUUGGUGGGGUAAUGGCCUACCAAGGCGGCGACGGGUAGCCGGCCUGAGAGGGUGGACGGCCACAUUGGGACUGAGACACGGCCCAGACUCCUACGGGAGGCAGCAGUGGGGAAUAUUGCACAAUGGGCGGAAGCCUGAUGCAGCGACGCCGCGUGGGGGAUGACGGCCUUCGGGUUGUAAACUCCUUUCACCAUCGACGAAGGGUUUCUGACGGUAGAUGGAGAAGAAGCACCGGCUAACUACGUGCCAGCAGCCGCGGUAAUACGUAGGGUGCGAGCGUUGUCCGGAAUUACUGGGCGUAAAGAGCUCGUAGGUGGUUUGUCGCGUCGUCUGUGAAAUUCCGGGGCUUAACUCCGGGCGUGCAGGCGAUACGGGCAUAACUUGAGUGCUGUAGGGGAGACUGGAAUUCCUGGUGUAGCGGUGAAAUGCGCAGAUAUCAGGAGGAACACCGGUGGCGAAGGCGGGUCUCUGGGCAGUAACUGACGCUGAGGAGCGAAAGCAUGGGGAGCGAACAGG
This 735-nucleotide ribosomal RNA is filed under the name uncultured Corynebacterium sp. Its description in RNAcentral is "bacterial SSU rRNA". It matches the Rfam family "Bacterial small subunit ribosomal RNA", at positions 28 to 776 of the family's 1533-position model. Lineage: Bacteria; Bacillati; Actinomycetota; Actinomycetes; Mycobacteriales; Corynebacteriaceae. The record is from RNAcentral.